GCUUUCGUUGUGUAGUGGUCAGCACGCUCGAUGCGUAUUCAAGAGGUCUGCGGUUCGAGUCCCUGUGAGGGCA
Molecule: transfer RNA, 73 nt
Filed under: Stegodyphus mimosarum
Lineage: Eukaryota; Metazoa; Arthropoda; Arachnida; Araneae; Eresidae
Rfam family: tRNA
About the family: Transfer RNA (tRNA) molecules are approximately 80 nucleotides in length.
Source: Rfam by way of RNAcentral